AACUAACGCUGGCGGCGUGCCUAACACAUGCAAGUCGUACGAGAAAGCCGGCUUCGGCUGGUGAGUAAAGUGGCGCACGGGUGAGUAACGCGUGGAUAAUCUGCCCUUAAGUGUGGAAUAACGUACCGAAAGGUGCGCUAAUACCGCAUAAUGCCUGGCAACACAAGUUGUCCGGCCAAAGAAGGCCUCUGUUUACAAGCUUUCGCUUCAGGAUGAGUCCGCGUACCAUUAGCUUGUUGGUGGGGUAAUGGCCUACCAAGGCUGCGAUGGUUAGCUGGUCUGAGAGGAUGAUCAGCCACACUGGAACUGAGACACGGUCCAGACUCUACGGGAGCAGCAGUGAGGAAUAUUGCGCAAGUGGGGCAACCCUGACGCAGCAACGCCGCGUGAGUGAGGAAGGUUUUCGGACUGUAAAGCUCUGUCGGAGCGGGAAGAAGUCGUACCAUGGCUAAUAUCCAUGAUAUUGACGGUACGCUAGAGAAGACCG
RNAcentral lists this ribosomal RNA (487 nucleotides) under uncultured bacterium. RNAcentral's name for it is "bacterial SSU rRNA". It matches the Rfam family "Bacterial small subunit ribosomal RNA", at positions 29 to 494 of the family's 1533-position model. The record is from RNAcentral.